GGUGUUCAGUCGUGCAUGCCAGGAGGGAUACCAUCAAUCAUACGUUCGUGGUGCAGUUGACCACGUGAGAGUCACUUACCGCAGUUCCCGUCCAAGACCUAUUUACUGUCGACUUCUUCAGUAUGCAAAUCAACACUUCAUCCUCAACGCUUCUAAACACCUCAAGGACAAGAAGUACCAGGGUCACGUUUUCAUCUCAGGCCAUAUUACACCCAAGCUGAGAGCUGAGCUUAUUAGGAUACAACUCCACACUGGUUCCGUAAAGAUUACACAGACCACACAUUUACGCGGCGGGUUCCAGAGGGAUUUCUUGAUGCUACCAGAAAAAACUACCGCACGGCAGCGAGGUAGAUACUCACCGCUAUGAUGUCACCUGGUUGCGUAUCAUUUCUACUAUCAGACACGAGGUGGAAUCGGCGAAUGACGCGCUCACAUUUGCUCAUCCGUUACAAGAUAAUAAGAUGCUUUGUCCACUUCAAACCAAACGACCUGAAAGAACUCUCAUGGGAGUUAGAGUGGUAAAAUCCGGUGUUUUCCAAAUGUUUUUCUUGGAGAGAUGUUACUAUGCAACUGAUGAGAUAGCGCCAAAUGCUCACAAAAACGAUUCUGCCGCCUGGGAGGAAUAUGGAUUUUCCGGCCACUGACUGUUUUCGUCACAAAUAUGCAUACAUAACCCGGAUGUGCUUCCGCUUGUGAACAAACAGAGCACAGGACGCUGCAGGCUUUACGUGUAUUGCCUCGGUAGAUUCAGGUUUGCAUUUGUAUUUAAUUGCUGAGAUAAUUCUUAUGUUACUGUAAAUCCUUGUUUGGGGGUUCUGUUCUUCAGAAGUUUUUUUCAUAAAUCAGCUUUAGUCGAUCAGGAUCUCUCACUAUAUUUUUGGUACCGAGCAGUGCUUGGUUUUAACAGUUAUUUGUAAUGUUUUUCUGUAUUACUAUUGCGUACUGAUACGGGUUAUCUGGUACUAAUUAAUCUCUUUUGCUUUAGCUCCAUUCGUUUUACAUUUAAGAGGGAAAGUUUUGCAGUGGCAUUAUUUGGCUGUGGGGGCUUCAGACUCAGGUUAUUUCAGCGUAGGCUUAACCGCAAGAAAGAUUUGCUUUUUCUCUAAGCAUUUAUCCCUACGAAAUCAGUACACAGUCAGACAGUGGUACACACCAUGUACAUGUACGUUCCAGCAUUGUAGUCACGUAAUACGUAAUGUGAGACUGACUAACUGUUAGACUGACUGCCAAACAAAAAGCCUCUCGCACAAAAAAGUGCGGCAUAAAACUCAUAUACGUUUUGUCGCCACAAAUCAUCCCUUCAUAUGAAAGAUAGUUUCAUUUAUCUGUAAAAAAGUUUCAGUAAUUGUUAUCAAGCUGGGUCAGGGUGCAGCAACCUAAAGUACAUCUAAACGUUGUAGACCCAAAAAUACAACCUCUCUUUAAACUUUUAUAUUUUUCACCAGUACCUCACAUAAUAGGGACAAAUUUCAUAUUAUUCGAUUCAGGACAUCGUGCUCUGUCUACUCACCACGCUAUUUUAACAGGCAAUACUUGUAAGCGUGUUGUUCAUAAAAAAAAAUUGCCAACUCUCACUUUUUCACGCGCAAGUCUCGCCGCUCAAACCGCACAUGUGGAUCGGCAAAGAAAUUAUGCAAUUUGACCUCAUUCUAGAGGGCGCUGCGGACUGACUGACCCGGCCCGGAUAUACAUGACGCAACAUAUCAAGGGUCGCAAGAAAAGCCUAUAGGUGGAUACCAUAGGCUAUUAAUGUUGGCAGUCACUUUGAAAACAUGCAAGAAACUCUUUCUAAAAAAUGUUAAGGAAGGGAGCAACAUCGUGUUCAACAUAUUGGCAACAAACGAAAGAAAAAUAUAUCUCAUUAUCCGUACAGAAACGGCCGAAUAUAUACCGAAGAGCAACUUUGUAAUCCAAAUGUGGACGGGACGAGUUCGGAAUAUUUCGGCUAUUUUCAGAAACUGGAGGCUAUCCUCUGGUUUUAGUCAGGUGGAAAGUGGGUGAUACCUGAUCCUUGAUUCGACGAAAAUAGUCGGAAUCAUUAGGUCUGGUAUCCAGACUAAUUGACUUUCUACAUCCCAGCCCGCUCCUAGUCUUUUCAUUUUUUUCACUCUCUCCCUUUGUGCCAACACUGACCAAUAGGCGUCCUCUGUAAACCUUCGAUUGCGUUUUUUUACCUCAGUCCAUGUAUUUUCUGCAGAACUGGGCAACUAAUACCAAUUAAAGAUACGUGUACACGCAUUUGCAUUCCAAAAUGGUGACUUUGAGAAUGCCCAAAGUUCCACAUGGCUCAACAUUUGUCUCAAGUCAUGAGAGGGUCAAUGCCGGUUCAGUUUCAUAACAUUACUUCUGUAGGGAGCAUUUUGUGAAUCUGGUAAAAAAAAGUGGCACAGUUGUGAAACGAGCUGUUGAUCUAGCACACUCGCACAUCAAAUACCGUGACAUUUGUUUCCAAUCUCGCAU
Acanthaster planci (crown-of-thorns starfish) is the source of this 2460-nucleotide long non-coding RNA. The record is from RefSeq and is a predicted model, not a curated record. NCBI's taxonomy places the organism in Eukaryota, Metazoa, Echinodermata, Asteroidea, Valvatida, Acanthasteridae.